RNAcentral lists this ribosomal RNA (434 nucleotides) under uncultured bacterium. RNAcentral's name for it is "bacterial SSU rRNA". It matches the Rfam family "Bacterial small subunit ribosomal RNA", at positions 29 to 507 of the family's 1533-position model. The record is from RNAcentral.
AACGAACGCUGGCGGCAUGCCUAACACAUGCAAGUCGAACGAGACCUUCGGGUCUAGUGGCGCACGGGUGCGUAACGCGUGGGAAUCUGCCCUUCGGUUCGGAAUAACUCAGGGAAACUUGAGCUAAUACCGGAUGACGACGAAAGUCCAAAGAUUUAUCGCCGAGGGAUGAGCCCGCGUAGGAUUAGGUAGUUGGUGGGGUAAAGGCUCACCAAGCCGACGAUCCUUAGCUGGUCUGAGAGGAUGAUCAGCCACACUGGGACUGAGACACGGCCCAGACUCCUACGGGAGGCAGCAGUGGGGAAUAUUGGACAAUGGGCGAAAGCCUGAUCCAGCAAUGCCGCGUGAGUGAUGAAGGCCUUCGGGUCGUAAAGCUCUUUUACCUAGGGAUGAUAAUGACAGUACCUGGAGAAUAAGCUCCGGCUAACUCCGUG